Molecule: ribosomal RNA, 255 nt
Filed under: uncultured bacterium
Lineage: Bacteria
Description: partial 16S ribosomal RNA
Rfam family: Bacterial small subunit ribosomal RNA
Source: RNAcentral
GCGAACGCUGGCGGCAGGCUUAACACAUGCAAGUCGAGCGCUCGUAGCAAUACGGGAGCGGCAGACGGGUGAGUAACACGUGGGAACGUACCUUUGGUUCGGAACAACAUAGGGAAACUUGUGCUAAUACCGGAUAAGCCCUUACGGGGAAAGAUUUAUCGCCGAAAGAUCGGCCCGCGUCUGAUUAGCUAGUUGGUGAGGUAACGGCUCACCAAGGCGACGAUCAGUAGCUGGUCNGAGAGGAUGAUCAGCCAC